GGUUGAACGGAUAACUACCGUUUUCAAGAGUACUUGGCUUCUGGGGUGGGAAGCU
RNAcentral lists this non-coding RNA (55 nucleotides) under Ruminiclostridium papyrosolvens. Its description in RNAcentral is "Clostridium papyrosolvens Na+-I sequence". It matches the Rfam family "Na+ riboswitch aptamer (DUF1646)". Rfam says of the family: Proteobacteria, NC10, Acidobacteria, Verrucomicrobia. Lineage (Clostridia) The riboswitch of Na+ was first reported in a comparative analysis of intergenic regions and called DUF1646 RNA, it was also suggested that it acts as cis-reg RNA present upstream of Na+ genes. Afterward it was reported as a riboswitch that selectively senses Na+. RNAcentral also lists the same sequence under 1 other name. The record is from RNAcentral. Lineage: Bacteria; Bacillati; Bacillota; Clostridia; Eubacteriales; Oscillospiraceae.